This is a non-coding RNA of Pelobates cultripes (western spadefoot toad), 236 nucleotides long. NCBI's taxonomy places the organism in Eukaryota, Metazoa, Chordata, Amphibia, Anura, Pelobatidae. The record is from the annotation of a GenBank genome assembly.
AACCAAUGAGUCCUAUCCACUUGUUAGACAUCUUGCUUAGACAUCUUCGGGGACAAAGACUGUCUUCCUUUCGAACUGUACAACUUCUAUCUUCUAAAACCAAGUUUUUAUUUCAUGAGUCCAUCAUAACUCCACCCCCUCAGCGUGAGGCUUAACCAAUCUCCAUAUAGAAUGUCAAGAAACUCUCCUCCCUUUUGCUAAGAGUAAAUAGAGCCCACAUGUACCACCGAUCUCAU